RNAcentral lists this ribosomal RNA (718 nucleotides) under uncultured bacterium. RNAcentral's name for it is "bacterial SSU rRNA". It matches the Rfam family "Bacterial small subunit ribosomal RNA", at positions 63 to 742 of the family's 1533-position model. The record is from RNAcentral.
CGAGCGAGUCUGCCUUGAGAUCGGAGUGCUUGCACUCUGUGAAACAAGAUACAGGCUAGCGGCGGACGGGUGAGUAACACGUGGGUAACCUGCCCAAGAGAUCGGGAUAACACCUGGAAACAGAUGCUAAUACCGGAUAACAACAGAUGAUGCCUAUCAACUGUUUAAAAGAUGGUUCUGCUAUCACUCUUGGAUGGACCUGCGGUGCAUUAGCUAGUUGGUAGGGUAACGGCCUACCAAGGCGAUGAUGCAUAGCCGAGUUGAGAGACUGAUCGGCCACAUUGGGACUGAGACACGGCCCAAACUCCUACGGGAGGCAGCAGUAGGGAAUCUUCCACAAUGGACGCAAGUCUGAUGGAGCAACGCCGCGUGAGUGAAGAAGGGUUUCGGCUCGUAAAGCUCUGUUGUUGGUGAAGAAGGACAGGGGUAGUAACUGACCUUUGUUUGACGGUAAUCAAUUAGAAAGUCACGGCUAACUACGUGCCAGCAGCCGCGGUAAUACGUAGGUGGCAAGCGUUGUCCGGAUUUAUUGGGCGUAAAGCGAGUGCAGGCGGCUCGAUAAGUCUGAUGUGAAAGCCUUCGGCUCAACCGGAGAAUUGCAUCAGAAACUGUCGAGCUUGAGUACAGAAGAGGAGAGUGGAACUCCAUGUGUAGCGGUGAAAUGCGUAGAUAUAUNGANGAACACCGGUGGCGAAGGCGGCUCUCUGGUCUGUUACUG